AUGCCGGUUUGCUUCAGAAUCCCAAAGAUGCCUUUUCAUUCUCAGCCAAACCGCUACUUAAUUUUUGUGGGAAUUUUCUCAUUACUCCUAAAAUCAGGUACUUCUCAAAGCGAUUCAGUGUCUCAAAAACAAAACCACGUGGAAAUCCUAGAAGGAGAAAAUGCCACUUUGACCUGUGACUUCACAACUAUCAGCUCUACUCCAUACCUUUUUUGGUACCGUCAGUAUGAAAAUCAAACACCUGAACGGAUCCUGAGUGCUGACAAAUAUGGUUCAGAGGAUAACUAUUUCCAGGAGGGAAAGUUUUCUACCACCUUAGUUUUGGGGAAUCAGAAUUCAGUUCCUCUGAACAUCAGAAGUGUCUCUCUACUGGAUGGAGCUGUUUAUUUCUGUGCUCUGAAUCCCACAAUGAAUCAUCUCUGUAUACAGACUCACACAAAACAUGUGACACCAAACUCAACUCUGUACAGAGAAUUCUUUCCCACUAACCUCUCAUUCAUCUAA
Pantherophis guttatus is the source of this 504-nucleotide non-coding RNA. NCBI's taxonomy places the organism in Eukaryota, Metazoa, Chordata, Lepidosauria, Squamata, Colubridae. The record is from the annotation of a RefSeq genome assembly.